This 415-nucleotide long non-coding RNA is filed under the name Musa acuminata (dwarf banana). RNAcentral describes it as "long non-coding RNA (MACU_LNC009233)". The record is from RNAcentral. Lineage: Eukaryota; Viridiplantae; Streptophyta; Magnoliopsida; Zingiberales; Musaceae.
ACAAAUUCUUUGUUUGCUAAAAUUUUACUUUAUGAUUUGGUUAAAAUUUAUUGUUGUUGUUGUUGUUGUUGUUGUUGUUAAUUAAAAUUAAAAUUCGAGCUGCAUUGAAUAUAUCAUUGUAUAUAUCAUUUGAAUUUCCAUUAAAAUUCAAGCCUCAUUUUGCAAACGAAAGAUAUGGGGUCUCCUAUAUUAAUUUUUAGUGUUUGUUUCUGCUAGUGACUUAUUCAUGGUAUUUUUUUUUCUUUAAACUAAAAUCAAGAUAUUAGCAGAAUCAUAAAUGACAAAAUUGUACCUUUGGUUUUAUAUGAUUUCAAGUUGUUUUAUUUAUUAUUGGAAUUUAUAAAAAUAUUAUCAUCAUAUUUUAUAUACCAUUGUAUAGAAACUUGUUGAUGGUCAAAAAUAAUUUUUUUAAUUC